GGCUCUGAUGAGAGGAGAGUCCGUCUGGCAAGGAAAGAACAGCUGAUGGGUUUGAAUUCUGCAUCCUGAAACAAUCCAAGCAUUUAAGGUCAAUGACGCUUGAUGGAGAUUGACUAAGUGUUUGUGAGCAUGAAACACGUAAGGCUGAGGACACAAUCAACAUUUCUACUCUUUGUUGAACAACCUGGUGGAAGAUUACCUUUAUUCUGAGUGCCUGCUCCAUUGAUAUUUUCUGUAGAUGGAGACUGCCCGUAGAGCCUGGGAAAACUCAGUUUGCUAGAGCAGAAUUCACCAGCAGGUCCGGGCUCAGGAAUUCAGCCACCGUCUAGCUUGGGAGCCUCCACCGGGGUCAACUACAGCUCAUUUGGAGAUGUGUCAAUGCCACCCAUGGCCAUUGCUUCAGUUGCACCAUCUGCCUCCAUGUCAGGUUCCAGGUGUACAUGCGGCCGAGUCUUUCUCAGCCCAGUGCCAUGGUACUGACCAGUGAUACAGGCCUCCAGCCUCCAUAUAACCCUUUCCCUGGCAUGCAAACACUGGAAAUGGUCACAACCCAGGCCACGUCCCUUUUAUCAGCCCCUGAAUGGAAACCAGCAGCUGGUGUAUGAAAGUCUGUAUGAAAGUCACCUUAAUCAGGCCUCCCAGAUGAUGGACUCCCAGCUC
This is a long non-coding RNA of Xenopus laevis (African clawed frog), 660 nucleotides long. RefSeq lists it as uncharacterized. Lineage: Eukaryota; Metazoa; Chordata; Amphibia; Anura; Pipidae. The record is from RefSeq and is a predicted model, not a curated record. The transcript is spliced from 3 exons.